Molecule: ribosomal RNA, 374 nt
Filed under: uncultured organism
Description: bacterial SSU rRNA
Rfam family: Bacterial small subunit ribosomal RNA
Source: RNAcentral
CGUAGGGGGCGAGCGUUGUCCGGAUUUAUUGGGCGUAAAGAGCUCGUAGGCGGUUCGGCAAGUCGACGGUGAAAUCUCCACGCUCAACGUGGAGGGGUCCGUCGAUACUGCCGUGACUCGAGUCCGGUAGGGGAGUGUGGAAUUCCCGGUGUAGCGGUGAAAUGCGCAGAGAUCGGGAGGAACACCCGUAGCGAAGGCGGCACUCUGGGCCGGUACUGACGCUGAGGAGCGAAAGCGUGGGGAGCAAACAGGAUUAGAUACCCUGGUAGUCCACGCCGUAAACGUUGGGCACUAGGUGUGGGGCUCUAUCGACGGGUUCCGUGCCGUAGCUAACGCAUUAAGUGCCCCGCCUGGGGAGUACGGCCGCAAGGCUA